AUGCUCUCUCAAGGUUUCAAAAGGUCUAAUUAUGAUAGUUGUGUUUAUUUGAAAACUGUCAAUGGUUCAACUAUUUAUUUGCUCCUUUAUGUUGAUGAUAUGCUUAUUGCUGCAAAGAGUAUGUCAGAUAUUGAUGAACUAAAGAAGCAAUUGAGUAAUGAAUUUGAGAUGAAGGAUUUGGGUGCAGCAAAGAAAAUACUUGGCAUGGAAAUAUCCAGAGAUAGACCGUCUGGAAAAGUAUAUCUAAGUCAGAAGGGAUAUAUUGAUAAAGUUCUUCGUUGUUUUAAUAUGCAUAAUGCCAAGCCGGUGAGUACACCGUUAGCUGCACACUUCAAAUUGUCAUCAGCUUUAUGUCCUAAGUCAGAUUCAGAUAUUGAGUACAUGUCUAGAGUUCCCUAUUCAAGUGCAGUUGGUUCACUUAUGUACGCCAUGGUUUGUUCUCGUCCUGACUUAUCAUAUGCAUUGAGUGUUGUCAGUAGAUACAUGGCUAAUCCUGGAAAAGAGCAUUGGAAAGCAGUUCAGUGGAUUUUCAGAUACCUGCGUGGUACUUCUAAUGCUUAUUUACAGUUUGGGAAAACUAGAGAUGGACUUGUUGGUUUUGUUGAUUCUGAUUUUGCUGGUGAUUUGGAUAAGAGAAGAUCACUCACAGGUUAUGUUUUCACCAUUGGUGGUUGUGCUGUGAGUUGGAGAGCAACUUUGCAGUCUAUUGUGGCUUGUUCCACUACUGAUGCCGAGUAUAUGGCUAUUUCUGAGGCAUGCAAAGAAGCUAUCUGGUUGAGAGGUUUGUACAUUGAGCUUUGUGCAGAUUCAUCUUGCCCUACCAUAUUUUCUGACAGUCAAAGUGCUAUAUAUCUUACAAAGAAUCCAAUGUAUCAUGAGAGGACAAAGCACAUUGAUGUUAGAUUUCACUAUAUUCGAGAUGUUGUUGCUGAAGGUGAUUUGAAGGUAUGCAAGAUAAGUACUCAUGAUAAUCCUGCUGAUAUGAUGACAAAGCCAGUUCCUACCAAUAAGUUUGAGCUUUGCUCAGGCUUAGUUGGUAUUUCUCACUAG
This 1050-nucleotide ribosomal RNA is filed under the name Triticum aestivum (bread wheat). RNAcentral describes it as "partial small subunit ribosomal RNA". Lineage: Eukaryota; Viridiplantae; Streptophyta; Magnoliopsida; Poales; Poaceae. The record is from RNAcentral.